RNAcentral lists this ribosomal RNA (642 nucleotides) under uncultured bacterium. RNAcentral describes it as "bacterial SSU rRNA". It matches the Rfam family "Bacterial small subunit ribosomal RNA", at positions 144 to 803 of the family's 1533-position model. The record is from RNAcentral.
UAACAGUUGGAAACGACUGUUAAUACCGCAUAAGCGCACAGGAUUGCAUGAUCCGGUGUGAAAAACUCCGGUGGUAUGAGAUGGACCCGCGUCUGAUUAGCCAGUUGGCAGGGUAACGGCCUACCAAAGCGACGAUCAGUAGCCGACCUGAGAGGGUGACCGGCCACAUUGGGACUGAGACACGGCCCAAACUCCUACGGGAGGCAGCAGUGGGGAAUAUUGCACAAUGGGGGAAACCCUGAUGCAGCGACGCCGCGUGAGCGAAGAAGUAUUUCGGUAUGUAAAGCUCUAUCAGCAGGGAAGAAGAAUGACGGUACCUGACUAAGAAGCACCGGCUAAAUACGUGCCAGCAGCCGCGGUAAUACGUAUGGUGCAAGCGUUAUCCGGAUUUACUGGGUGUAAAGGGAGCGCAGGCGGUGCGGCAAGUCUGAUGUGAAAGCCCGGGGCUCAACCCCGGUACUGCAUUGGAAACUGUCGUACUAGAGUGUCGGAGGGGUAAGUGGAAUUCCUAGUGUAGCGGUGAAAUGCGUAGAUAUUAGGAGGAACACCAGUGGCGAAGGCGGCUUACUGGACGAUAACUGACGCUGAGGCUCGAAAGCGUGGGGAGCAAACAGGAUUAGAUACCCUGGUAGUCCACGCCGU